This 71-nucleotide transfer RNA is filed under the name Gammaproteobacteria bacterium. Its description in RNAcentral is "tRNA-OTHER". Lineage: Bacteria; Pseudomonadati; Pseudomonadota; Gammaproteobacteria. The record is from RNAcentral.
GGGCCUGUAGGAUGGUUCCUCGGCAGCAUUCCUAAGCUCCGCCGCUUCGGGUUCGAUUCCCGACAGGUCCA